GGGCAGGUAGUUCAGUGGUAGAACGCCGUUCUGAUAAAACGGAGGUCGAAGGUUCGAUCCCUUCCCUGCCCA
Molecule: transfer RNA, 72 nt
Filed under: Pseudomonadota bacterium
Lineage: Bacteria; Pseudomonadati; Pseudomonadota
Also listed under: 2 other names
Description: tRNA-Ile
Rfam family: tRNA
About the family: Transfer RNA (tRNA) molecules are approximately 80 nucleotides in length. Their secondary structure includes four short double-helical elements and three loops (D, anti-codon, and T loops).
Source: RNAcentral